UCCUACGGGAGGCAGCAGUAAGGAAUAUUGGUCAAUGGACGCAAGUCUGAACCAGCCAUGCCGCGUGAAGGAUUAAGGUCCUCUGGAUUGUAAACUUCUCUUAUCUGGGACGAAAAAAGGCGAUUCUUCGUCACUUGACGGUACCAGAUGAAUAAGCACCGGCUAACUCCGUGCCAGCAGCCGCGGUAAUACGGAGGGUGCAAGCGUUAUCCGGAUUCACUGGGUUUAAAGGGUGCGUAGGCGGGCAGGUAAGUCAGUGGUGAAAUCCUGGAGCUUAACUCCAGAACCGCCAUUGAUACUAUCUGUCUUGAAUAUUGUGGAGGUAAGCGGAAUAUGUCAUGUAGCGGUGAAAUGCUUAGAUAUGACAUAGAACACCUAUUGCGAAGGCAGCUUCUUGGUCCAUUCCUGACGUUCAUACACGA
RNAcentral lists this ribosomal RNA (422 nucleotides) under uncultured bacterium. RNAcentral describes it as "bacterial SSU rRNA". It matches the Rfam family "Bacterial small subunit ribosomal RNA", at positions 337 to 756 of the family's 1533-position model. The record is from RNAcentral.